This is a long non-coding RNA of Nyctereutes procyonoides (raccoon dog), 811 nucleotides long. RefSeq lists it as uncharacterized. The record is from RefSeq and is a predicted model, not a curated record. The transcript is spliced from 3 exons. Lineage: Eukaryota; Metazoa; Chordata; Mammalia; Carnivora; Canidae.
UUUCUUGCAAUAGGUGCCAAGGUGUUGGCAGAGAUGGGGGCUCCAAGCUGAAAGAAGUUUCCCUAGAGGAACAGGUCACCAAAACGCACUCACAACCUCCACUACCCUCCAGCAAAGUCUUUAGCCACCCAAGUGUGAGAUGAGCCCGGAAAGGGGUAUCGGGUCCCCUAGAAGGCGCCUACUCCACCUCCAUGAAGAAACACGGGCAAUGUUUACCUCCGUAAGGCAGCGUCUUCCUUGGUUCAUUUGUUCAUUCGACAACUGUUUACUGAAUACCUACCAGGUCCCGGACAUUGUACUAUGUGCUGGGGACAGACACAAAUGGCAUGCUCUACUUCCUUCUCUUCAAUCUUCAAAGACACCUGGAGGAAGAGAAAAGGACUUUUCAUGGUGGAGAACUAACAAAAGCCAAGUUUUUAUUACAUAAACUUCUACCACGUUGAACUUUUGUCCCAAGAGGCAAGCAAGUUAAACACUGCUUUGUCAAUGGUCUGCAGAAAAUACCUCAUUCAUACCAAGUCCCAUCCUCCCAGAUCUUCAAUGCUACCUACCAAAAAAAAAACCAGUUUACCUAACUGUGGUCAUAUUUAAAUCUUUACUUUAGCAAAAAAGGAUAAGCUCCAAAACAGGACAAUUAAAAGCAUUAUCACAAAGAAGAGGUUAGGGGCAGCCCAGGUGGCUCAGCAGUUUAGUGCCUGCCUUCGGCCGGGGUGGUGAUCCUGGAGACCCAGAAUCGAGUCCCAUGUCCCAUGAAGACUCCCUACAUGGGGCCUGCUUCUCCUGCUUGUGUCUCUGCCUUUUUCUCUGCAUC